This 832-nucleotide ribosomal RNA is filed under the name uncultured bacterium. RNAcentral describes it as "bacterial SSU rRNA". It matches the Rfam family "Bacterial small subunit ribosomal RNA", at positions 31 to 883 of the family's 1533-position model. The record is from RNAcentral.
UGACGCUGGCGGCGUGCUUAACACAUGCAAGUCGAACGAUGAAACCUAGCUUGCUAGGUGGAUUAGUGGCGCACGGGUGAGUAAUAUAUAGGUAAUGUGCCUCUUAGUCUGGGAUAGCCAUUGGAAACGAUGAUUAAUACUGGAUACUCCUUCUAACUCUAAUGUUAGUCGGGAAAGUUUUUCGCUAAGAGAUCAGCCUAUAUCCCAUCAGUUAGUUGGUAAGGUAACGGCUUACCAAGGCAAUGACGGGUAGCGGGUUUGAGAGGAUGAUCCGCCACACUGGUACUGAGACACGGACCAGACUCCUACGGGAGGCAGCAGUGAGGAAUAUUGCACAAUGGGGGAAACCCUGAUGCAGCAACGCCGCGUGGAGGAUGACGCAUUUCGGUGUGUAAACUCCUUUUAUAUGUCAAGAAAAUGACGGUAGCAUAUGAAUAAGCACCGGCUAACUCCGUGCCAGCAGCCGCGGUAAUACGGAGGGUGCAAGCGUUACUCGGAAUCACUGGGCGUAAAGGACGCGUAGGCGGAUUGGAAAGUCAGAUGUGAAAUCCUACAGCUUAACUGUAGAACUGCAUUUGAAACUUCUAAUCUAGAGUAUGGGAGGGGGAGAUGGAAUUAGUGGUGUAGGGGUAAAAUCCGUAGAUAUCACUAGGAAUACCGAAAGCGAAGGCGAUCUCCUGGAACAUUACUGACGCUAAGGCGUGAAAGCGUGGGGAGCAAACAGGAUUAGAUACCCUGGUAGUCCACGCCCUAAACGAUGAACACUAGUCGUCGGGAUGCUUGUCAUCUCGGUGAUGCACUUAACAGAUUAAGUGUUCCGCCUGGGGAGUAC